GAUGAACGCUAGCAGAACGCCUAACACAUGCAAGUCGAACGGAAUUCUUUGGGUAGCAAUACUUGAUGAAUUUAGUGGCAAACGGGCGAGUAACACGUACUUAACCUGCCCUGGAGACGAGAACAACUACGGAGACGUAGCUAAAUCUCGAUACGCUGUAAGAAAUGAAAAUACUUACAGGAAACUAUUUAUAGCUCUAGGAGGGGGUGCGGCCUACCAGGUAGUUGGCGGGGUAAUAGCCCACCAAGCCUAUGACGGGUAGCCGGUCUGAGAGGAUGUCCGGCCGCAAUGGAACUGAGACACGGUCCAUACCCCUACGGGGGGCAGCAGUAGGGAAUAUUGGUCAAUGGAGGCAACUCUGAACCAGCCAUGCCGCGUGCAGGAAGAAGGCCCCUCUGGGUUGUAAACUGCUUUUGACUAGGAACAAAUGACUCUUGCGAGAGUAGCUGAGUGUACUAGUAGAAUAAGCCACGGCUAACUACGUGCCAGCCG
Molecule: ribosomal RNA, 492 nt
Filed under: uncultured bacterium
Lineage: Bacteria
Description: bacterial SSU rRNA
Rfam family: Bacterial small subunit ribosomal RNA
Source: RNAcentral